GUGAGAGCUGAACCAUCUUAAGUUGGACAGACAUGAUAGAGGAACAUGUGGUGGAUGAAUGAUUCGGCUACCCGAAAAGCCAUCUUCUGAAGCCCUGCCUUUUUUAUGCACUACUGACGGCAAAUACUUCAAGAUUGAGUCAGAGCCGCAGUCUCUGUGGAGGUCGCCCGCCCUGGGCUGCCUUGUCUUCAACGGUGCCCUUGCCAGGCUGCUGAGGAAGCUCUUGCUCGGUAUGCUGGGAACACACUGCCUGUUGGAAGAACAUCCCAUUCAGGAGCUGCGGUCUGUGCCAAAGCUCGACAGUCCCCACAAAGGCGCACAGGGGAGACCCAGAGAAGGAAAUGAAGAACAAAAACCCAGAGCCUGGCUGACACACACUGCCCAGGAGCCUUCUGUUACAGCAUGCUGUCUUCUGGCAAACGGACAAACAGACACAGGGCCACACAAGAGGAAUACGUUUCAAUGAGGAAAACUUUGUGCCAGAUAAGAAAUGAGAUAGAAUAAUAAAACUGGACAGAGAUAGUC
RNAcentral lists this long non-coding RNA (525 nucleotides) under Rattus norvegicus (Norway rat). RNAcentral describes it as "long non-coding RNA NONRATT021182". Lineage: Eukaryota; Metazoa; Chordata; Mammalia; Rodentia; Muridae. The record is from RNAcentral.